RNAcentral lists this long non-coding RNA (504 nucleotides) under Nicotiana benthamiana. RNAcentral describes it as "long non-coding RNA (NBEN_LNC038766)". The record is from RNAcentral. Lineage: Eukaryota; Viridiplantae; Streptophyta; Magnoliopsida; Solanales; Solanaceae.
GCACCACCAAAGUCCACAACUCCGGCUUCGAACAACAGUGAUUCGUCUAAUAAAAGCAAAAGAAAAAUAUGGGGUUAUUGGGUUGAGUAUAAGCAUUUAUUGGAUGAUAAAGAUGGAUCUACACGUUUACGUGAGUACAUUAGGAAACGAUCCAUUUUACGGCCUGCCCCGCCAGCUUGGAUGGAGGAUGAGCGCCUGUGUUUUCGCGUGACCGACGUUGUUGAUGCAUUUCAUCUUGCAGGGUGGUGGACUGGAGUUGUUGUUCGUGUUGUUGCUACCGGUACUGGUAGUAUAGGUUGCAAGUUCCGGGUCGCUUUCAAGGAUCCGGAUGAGGAGCUUGAGUUUUCUCAGCGUGACUUGAGGUUCCGUCUUGAUUGGGUUGAUGGAAAACGAUCCAUUUUAGGGCCUGCCCCGCCAACUUGGAUGGAGGAUGAGCGCCUGUGUUUUCGAGUGAGCGACGUUGUUGAUGCAUUUCAUCUUGCAGGGUGGUGGACUGGAGUUGUU